This 469-nucleotide ribosomal RNA is filed under the name uncultured bacterium. RNAcentral's name for it is "partial 16S ribosomal RNA". It matches the Rfam family "Bacterial small subunit ribosomal RNA", at positions 28 to 507 of the family's 1533-position model. The record is from RNAcentral.
GAUGAACGCUGGCGGCGUGCUUAACACAUGCAAGUCGAACGGAGAAAACGGAGCUUUCUUUGUGGGAUCAGUGGCGAACGGGUGAGUAUCACGUGAGCAACCUGUCCCUGACUCAGGGAUAAGCGCUGGAAACGGCGUCUAAUACUGGAUAUGUGAUGUGACCGCAUGGUCUGCGUUUGGAAAGAUCUUUCGGUUGGGGAUGGGUUCGCGGCCCAUCAGUUUGUUGGUGAGGUAGUGGCUCACCAAGGCGUCGACGGGUAGCCGACCUGCGAGGGUGACCGGCCACACUGGGACUGAGAGACGGCCCAGACGCCUACGGGAGGCAACAGUGGAGAGUAUUGCACAAUGGGCGGGAGCCUGAUGCAGCAACGCCGCGUGCGGGAUGACGGCCUUCGAGUUGUAAACCUAUUUUAGCAGGGAAGAGGCGAUAUUGACGGUACCUGCAGAAAAAGCGCCGGCUAACUACGUG